This 424-nucleotide ribosomal RNA is filed under the name uncultured cyanobacterium. RNAcentral describes it as "bacterial SSU rRNA". It matches the Rfam family "Bacterial small subunit ribosomal RNA", at positions 355 to 794 of the family's 1533-position model. Lineage: Bacteria; Bacillati; Cyanobacteriota. The record is from RNAcentral.
UGGGGAAUUUUCCGCAAUGGGCGAACGCCUGACGGAGCAACGCCGCGUGAGGGACGAAGGCCUCUGGGCUGUAAACCUCUUUUCUCAAGGAAGAAGAUAUGACGGUACUUGAGGAAUAAGCCACGGCUAAUUCCGUGCCAGCAGCCGCGGUAAUACGGGAGUGGCAAGCGUUAUACAGAAUUAUUGGGCGUAAAGCGUCCGCAGGCGGCUUUUCAAGUCUGCUGUUAAAGCGUGGAGCUUAACUCCAUCAUGGCAGUGGAAACUGAAAGGCUUGAGUGUGGUAGGGGCAGAGGGAAUUCCCGGUGUAGCGGUGAAAUGCGUAGAUAUCGGGAAGAACACCAGUGGCGAAGGCGCUCUGCUGGGCCAUUACUGACGCUCAUGGACGAAAGCCAGGGGAGCGAAAGGGAUUAGAUACCCCUGUAGU